This 407-nucleotide ribosomal RNA is filed under the name Troglophilus adamovici. Its description in RNAcentral is "partial 16S ribosomal RNA". It matches the Rfam family "Bacterial large subunit ribosomal RNA", at positions 1939 to 2551 of the family's 2925-position model. The record is from RNAcentral. Lineage: Eukaryota; Metazoa; Arthropoda; Insecta; Orthoptera; Rhaphidophoridae.
AUUUUGACUGUGCAAAGGUAGCAUAAUCAUUAGUCUUUUAAUUGGAGACUGGUAUGAAUGGUUUAACGAAGUAUUAACUGUCUCAUUUUAAUAAAUUGAAUUUAACUUUUGAGUCAAAAGGCUUAAAUGAAGUUAAAGGACGAGAAGACCCUAUAGAGCUUUAUAAAUUGAAUAUUAAAUUGGAUUUAGAAGUUUUAUUUAAUUUGAAUAGAAAAUUUAUUUUAUUGGGGUGAUAUGAAGAUUUAAUAAACUCUUUAUAGUAAUUAAACACUAAUGAGUGAAUAAUUGAUCCAUUUUUAGUGAUUAUAAGAUUAAGUUACCUUAGGGAUAACAGCGUAAUGUUUUUUGAGAGUUCUUAUCAACAAAAAAGAUUGCGACCUCGAUGUUGGAUUAAGGAAAAAGUUGGG